CGCAAGCCUGACGGAGCAAGACCGCGUGCGGGAUGACGGCCUAAUGGUUGUAAACCGCUUUUCUCUGGGAAGAUGAUGACGGUACCGGAGGAAUCAGCCUCGGCUAACUCCGUGCCAGCAGCCGCGGUAAUACGGAGGAGGCAAGCGUUAUCCGGAAUUAUUGGGCGUAAAGCGUCCGUAGGUGGUUAUUCAAGUCUGCUGUCAAAGCGUGGGGCUUAACUCCAUAGAGGCAGUGGAAACUGGAUGACUUGAGUGCGGUAGGGGUCGAGGGAAUUCCCAGUGUAGCGGUGAAAUGCGUAGAUAUUGGGAAGAACACCAGUGGCGAAAGCGCUCGACUGGGCCUGCACUGACACUGAGGGACGAAAGCUAGGGGAGCG
This 377-nucleotide ribosomal RNA is filed under the name uncultured cyanobacterium. RNAcentral's name for it is "bacterial SSU rRNA". It matches the Rfam family "Bacterial small subunit ribosomal RNA", at positions 376 to 770 of the family's 1533-position model. Lineage: Bacteria; Bacillati; Cyanobacteriota. The record is from RNAcentral.